Molecule: ribosomal RNA, 253 nt
Filed under: uncultured bacterium
Lineage: Bacteria
Description: partial 16S ribosomal RNA
Rfam family: Bacterial small subunit ribosomal RNA
Source: RNAcentral
UACGAAGGGUGCAAGCGUUACUCGGAAUUACUGGGCGUAAAGCGUGCGUAGGUGGUUCGUUAAGUCUGAUGUGAAAGCCCUGGGCUCAACCUGGGAAUGGCAUUGGAUACUGGCGACCUAGAGUGCGGUAGAGGGUGGCGGAAUUCCCGGUGUAGCAGUGAAAUGCGUAGAGAUCGGGAGGAACAUCUGUGGCGAAGGCGACUGCCUGGACCAGCACUGACACUGAGGCACGAAAGCGUGGGGAGCAAACAGG